This 117-nucleotide ribosomal RNA is filed under the name Nitrospinota bacterium. Lineage: Bacteria; Pseudomonadati; Nitrospinota. The record is from RNAcentral.
UCCGGUGGUCAAAGCGAGGGGGAAACACCCGUUCCCAUCCCGAACACGGAAGUUAAGCCCCUCAGCGCCGAUGGUACUUCGCUAGAGAUGGCGCGGGAGAGUAGGACGCCGCCGGGA